CAUGGAACCGUCUCAUGUGAACUGUGAACAACGGAAUGUGGUGGGGUGCAACUUUCAUGGUGUCGGUAUGGGUUCUGGCAGAGAAUAGCCCCCUUUCCCACUGGCUGUUGAGAUGCUGAUACUGGGAUGGCUUGCAGGUAUGAUGCUGCAUAUCAAUUUAUGGUUUUUGAGAGUAUAGUUUCUGGCAGUUGGCAGGUGACAUUGAUUUGGCUCCCCCUUUUUUU
Phragmites australis (common reed) is the source of this 224-nucleotide long non-coding RNA. RefSeq lists it as uncharacterized. The transcript is spliced from 2 exons. Lineage: Eukaryota; Viridiplantae; Streptophyta; Magnoliopsida; Poales; Poaceae. The record is from RefSeq and is a predicted model, not a curated record.